This 396-nucleotide ribosomal RNA is filed under the name uncultured bacterium. Its description in RNAcentral is "partial 16S ribosomal RNA". It matches the Rfam family "Bacterial small subunit ribosomal RNA", at positions 523 to 918 of the family's 1533-position model. The record is from RNAcentral.
AUACGUAGGUGACAAGCGUUAUCCGGAUUUACUGGGCGUAAAGGGCGUGUAGGCGGUCUUGCAAGUCAGAAGUGAAAUUCCUGAGCUCAACUCGGGCGCUGCUUCUGAAACUGCAGGACUUGAGUGCUGGAGGGGAUAGCGGAAUUCCUAGUGGAGCGGUAAAAUGCGCAGAUAUUAGGAAGAACACCGGUGGCGAAGGCGGCUAUCUGGGCAGUAACUGACGCUGAGGCGCGAAAGCGUGGGGAGCAAACAGGAUUAGAUACCCUGGUAGUCCACGCUGUAAACGAUGAUUACUAGGUGUGGGGGGACUGACCCCUUCCGUGCCGCAGUUAACACAAUAAGUAAUCCACCUGGGGAGUACGGCCGCAAGGUUGAAACUUAAAGGAAUUGACGGGG